Molecule: long non-coding RNA, 1011 nt
Filed under: Sus scrofa (pig)
Lineage: Eukaryota; Metazoa; Chordata; Mammalia; Artiodactyla; Suidae
Description: lncRNA (ENSSSCG00070006824.1)
Source: RNAcentral
AUGUUCUCUCAGAUGUUAAUAGGGCCGUGGAGAGCAUCCUUGCAGACCCAGGCGGCCUGUUCCCAGCCUCAGGCUGCCCUGCUGGCUCACUCCUUGUCGCAAAACCCACUCAGAUCCCAUGAGAAGAAGGUGGGAGGGAAACCUCCCUGCAGCUGCCAGCCUCCCCCAGGCCCCUGGGCGAUGAGGGAGGGGUGGCUAGAGCGGGGCCUCUUCCAUGCCAGCUCGGGCAGUGGGGGGCCAGCGACUUGGGAGAGGGCGGGUGAACCUUGUUUUAAGAGACAGGAAAUAUUCGGCCACAGGCUCUCACGGAGGGAGACAGGUCCCGGCUUGAACUCCAGGAUAGAGCCGAUGCAUAGCAACCAGGAUGCAAAACACUCCCCACCCCCGGCACCCACUUUCAGGACGAGGUGGGAGGCGCCGCUGUCCUGGGUGCCUGGGCGAACUGGACGUGUGGGAGCCGCCCCGCCGGCCCCCUCCACUUCUGCGGUCUGCCAGCGCCUUCUGAUGCCAAGCCGCUGCCAAAGGCGGGCUGCCCACCGCCAGGCGCCAGCGCAGGAAAUCAGUUGGCCCAGGCCCCACGGCGCCUUCCUUUCCCCAACUUGGAAAGGGGGCGGCUCUGCGCGCUCCAGGGCAUCCGGGCCACGUCCAAGGUCUCCCCGGGUCAGACUGAACGUCCAGGGGCCGCCGGAGCAGCACGGGGACCCCUUGGAAGUCAUGGUCCUGCCGGGACGCGAACCAGGGGUGCGUCAGAAGAGGCCGCAUCUGGAAGGCCUUAGCGCUGGGGGCCCCCCAGGAGGCUGCUGUUUCCUGUCUGGGGCGGGGAGUGCCCUCUCCGGAGAGCCUGUGACCCCACCAGGCUUGGGACCAUCUGGCAAGGGAGACAGAGAAAGAGAGGGCGUGGGGAACAGGAAAUCAAAAGAUGGGAGAAAGCCCCCCCCCAGCGAUGACGGGGGAAUCAGGGGGUGCAAAGGGGGAGACGACAACACUCCCUGGGCCCCCCCUCGGUCCUGA